RNAcentral lists this transfer RNA (70 nucleotides) under Dipodomys ordii (Ord's kangaroo rat). It matches the Rfam family "tRNA". From Rfam's summary of the family: Transfer RNA (tRNA) molecules are approximately 80 nucleotides in length. Their secondary structure includes four short double-helical elements and three loops (D, anti-codon, and T loops). Lineage: Eukaryota; Metazoa; Chordata; Mammalia; Rodentia; Heteromyidae. The record is from Rfam by way of RNAcentral.
GGGAAGGUGGCUCAGUGGUAGAGCACUUGCCUUGCAUGCAUGAGGCCCUGGGUUUGAUUCCUCAUUACCA